This is a long non-coding RNA of Mesocricetus auratus (golden hamster), 2260 nucleotides long. RefSeq lists it as uncharacterized. The record is from RefSeq and is a predicted model, not a curated record. The transcript is spliced from 2 exons. Lineage: Eukaryota; Metazoa; Chordata; Mammalia; Rodentia; Cricetidae.
CUCCCUCCGUCCCUCCCUCCCUCCUUCCUUCCUUCCUUCCUUUUUGUACUGCAGAUGAAACCUAGAACCUCACGCAUAAAAGGCAAGGGCUCUACCACUAAGCGGCAUCUCCAUCAUUGAUUCACAUCUUUCAAAGAGCAACUGCAUACUUAAUCCCUGUGAUGGAUUCUCACCUCCACUACAGUCAGGAUCACCCCAGGUACCAUGCCUCCCAUGCGGUAAUGGACUGUGCCCUCUGAACCCAUGAGCAAAGGAAGUCUCUCCUCCCUGAACUUGUUUCUGCCAGGUAUUUUGCCACAACAAUGGGAAAAAAAAUCUAAUACAAUGUUUCUUUUGUUUGUUUGUUCAUUCGUUUAUUUGGUUUUGAAAGCAAGACUCAGAUGGUAGCCUAAACUGACCUUGAACUCAUGGUGAUUCUCCUGCCUCCAUCUCCUGCUGGAAUUACAGGAGCGAAUCACCACCACAAUGAGUUGGGUUUAUUUCAAGUGACUGACACCUGUAUCCCAGAAAUGAAAACUAGAGGCUCUGGGUGAGAAUGGGAAUAUUUGUCUACAUCAACCUAACCUACAUCAUGCCCCAACUAACAAAACUAAAUAACUGCUUUUGAUUUUGAGGGGAGUGCACGGCUGGAAGUGGCUCACACUUGAAGUUCCUGUUUCCUUCUCUAGUGUUUUACCAGGUCAGUCCUCUGUGAUGAAGACAGAGUACAUUGUAGGGGGCCAGUAUGAAUUUCCCAGCCUCAUUUCGAUAUACAAUCCCAUUUAAGUUGACUUCACUCCACACCUUUCUUCUUGCUCCACCCCAAGCUUUACAGAGACCUCAGCAACCAGAACCUAAGCAGAGGGCAGAGAAGUUACCUAAGUAUAAAACACUAUACACUUUUUGUAGACUCCAAUUUUUUUCAUGAAUAUGAGUAUUUGGCCUGCAUGAGCAGACAUGUGCACCACAUGCAUGCCUGGUGCCAUGGAUACCUGGAACUGGAGUUACAGACAGUUGUGAGGUGCCAUGUGGGUGCUGGGAGUUGAACCUGGGUCCUCUAGAGGAACAGUCAAUUCUCUUAAGCACUGACCCAUCUCUCUAGACUGACUCUUUCCAAGUUAUACUUAAGAGAAAUGAUUAUAGAAGCUGGGAUUGUUCCAGAGUUCAACGACCUUGGACAGAGAAGGAGGAGGAAGAAGAUGAUGAUGACAAUGAGGAGGACAAGGAGGAGGAAGAAAGUCCUGCAAUUUCAGAGAGCUGGACUCUCUGAAGUCGGAAGGAAACGCAAAGACCCUAUUUGUGGCUGCAGGAGAGGAAAAGAGUCCCACAAGGAAACUACCAACAGAUGGAGAAAAACGUCUGGGAAUGUCUGUAAGGGGAGCUCUGGAUUGCGUUCACUGAAGUAGGGAGACUCCCCUGAAUGUGGACAGCACUGUUUCUGGGCUGGCAUCGUGGACUGAAUAGAAAGAGGAAAGUAAGCAGGAACUAGCAGUCAUCAUCUAAGCAUCCUGGCUGUGGGCACGAUGCAGCCAGCUGCCUCACGCUCCUGCUGCCUCACGCUCCCACUGCUGUGAUGUUCCCAGGAUGAUAAACUGUGUCUCCUCUCAGACUGUGAGCCAAUAUGAACCCUUCCUUCCUCAACUUACGUUUGUCAAGUGUUCCCACCGUAACAAGAGACAGUAACCACGACAAUCCUAAAGAAGUCCUGUCACUUUUCCUUGGCCCCAGGAUGGUGUGCCACAGUGCUUUCUUCUGCCCUGCGCAGGUCAAGGCACUUGCAAAGAAGCACAGGCUUGGGUUUGACCAUCUUGAGGGACUUAUGGUGGCAGAAGUGAGGAAAUGAUUGGAGAUCAGGGGAGAGCAGGGUGCAGGACUGAACCAGAAACAAGAAUAACUUUCAAUGGCCCAGGAUCCCAACAUUCUACGGUGUCCUCAAACAGCACUGCCAGCUGAGGGCCACGUGUUCAAACACAUGGUCCUAUGGGGGUUGCACGUCACAUUCAUGCCAGAACUCUCACUGUCCCUUUCGGUUGCUGAAUAUUAGCUUCGUCCCCUUCCCACUGGCAGUUUGCUAGUCUUGACCCUGCCGGCUCUGUGCCGGGAGUCUCCUACAAAAGGAGAGGCCAGCAGAAGCCAAUACAGAUGGGCCACAGCACCUUUUCUCUCUGCAUCCGCGAUUCCAGGACCCCACAUGCCUGUUUCUACAAGACCAUGGAAGCCCAAAGAUUGUCUUUUCUGCCCUUUAACUUAAAAGCAGCUUAAAAAUAAAAGAUUGUAUGAA